RNAcentral lists this long non-coding RNA (510 nucleotides) under Ficedula albicollis (Collared flycatcher). RNAcentral's name for it is "lncRNA (ENSFALG00000026834.1)". The record is from RNAcentral. Lineage: Eukaryota; Metazoa; Chordata; Aves; Passeriformes; Muscicapidae.
GGGGGGGGGGGGGGGGGGGGGGGGGGGGGGGGGGGGGGGGGGGGGGGGGGGGGGGGGGGGGGGGGGGGGGGGGGGGGGGGGGGGGGGGGGGCGCGGCUCCGGCGGCCCCGCCAUCCCCGGCGCGGCCGGGCGGGCCCAGCCCGGGCCGGCACAGCCCUGUGCGGCCCGGCCCGCCCCGCUCCGCCCCGCGGGCCGGCGAUGGCAGCGGGUCACGGCACAUCCCUGCCCUGCAGUGCGCUCCCCGCGCUCCCCGGGCUCGGUGCUGCUGCCUUUAGGUGUGUGGGACAGCCUGCUGCCGGAACGGCGACGGGUUCGUGGGUGCGAUGGCCAGGGCCUUCCCUUUGGGGUGUUCCCCAAGGACACAGAUUGAGCACUGUGGACACGUGUGGUUUUGUGUAUUUUUGUAUAUCUUCGCGUUUAGAAAGGCAGUUUUCCUUAUGGACUGUACAUAUGAGAGUAUUAUAUAAGGAACCUGUGAGUGCUAUACAGCUGGCAGCUUUAUUCUUCUAG